RNAcentral lists this long non-coding RNA (566 nucleotides) under Homo sapiens (human). RNAcentral describes it as "HSALNT0005179". The record is from RNAcentral. Lineage: Eukaryota; Metazoa; Chordata; Mammalia; Primates; Hominidae.
AAGGACAAAAUGAUAACUGGAGGACCAGCUGGUUUUCCUGUAAACUUCUUCAAAGAAAGACCCAGCUGGUCACUGAGGGCACCUUCUGGGGCCCUGGGCAUGGACAGGGCACAGGUCAAGUAGGUGAUGGUGUGAUGAUGAGAGGGGUGCAUUUGUCCCAGGAGGUCCUUCCACACGACCCAGCACAACUUCCUAAUCAUCUCCUCUGCGCCCUCCCCUGGGCUGGCCCCUGGGGAUGGAGACAUUGAAGGACACAGUGCCUGCCCUAUUGGGCCCUGAAGUCUGGGGUGGCAAAAGGAGGCGCAUGAAGCCAACAGAUUAUAGGACAAUGCAGACUCAUAAUAGUUACCAACAAGAAUGAAUGAUGUGCAACAGGAAUGGGAGAGUCUGCUGCAGCCUGGAAGCAUCAGAGGAGGCCAGAGAGAGAAGGGAGCAUGGCAGCCCAUUCUUCAAAAAUGAGGACAUCUUUCGCUGGAGAUGCAAACGCCUGAAAAGGAGGAUGGUGCAACUUCGAAGUGGGAGAGUGCAGGGAGAUGACAAUGAUAGGACAGGAGUGAGCUCUACUA